CUGUUCCCCUCUGAGCUGCAGAGGCAGCUCCUGUUCUGCCUCUGCUCUGUGGGGGUGGGCAAGAGGACAGGCUCUUUAUGGCAGCCAUGGUGUCCAAACAGAGCCAGGAA
Small nucleolar RNA from Taeniopygia guttata (zebra finch), 110 nucleotides. Ensembl annotates it as small nucleolar RNA SNORA17. NCBI's taxonomy places the organism in Eukaryota, Metazoa, Chordata, Aves, Passeriformes, Estrildidae. The record is from Ensembl.